RNAcentral lists this long non-coding RNA (9006 nucleotides) under Homo sapiens (human). RNAcentral describes it as "long non-coding RNA NONHSAT175147.1". Lineage: Eukaryota; Metazoa; Chordata; Mammalia; Primates; Hominidae. The record is from RNAcentral.
CUGUCUCCAAGCAUAACUGUGAGAAUUAUCUGGGGAUGGUGUGAAGUGCCUGGCAUGUCGCAGCCUUGAAACAAAUGCCAGUUCUCCCUCCCCCACCCACCACAGGCUGCCAGCAUUCCAGCUGGGGCAGUGUGUCCCAGUACCUUGUCCUUGCCCUCCUCAGGCAGCGCUCACCUGCAGGCAGCCCUGUGGGCUGUCACUCAUCAUCUGCCCUGUGCCCAAGCAUUGUCUCCCUUGCUUUUGCUGACAGUGAUGUCCUGGCUUUGGUCCCAGCCUGUCCUCCUUGGCAGAACACCUGGCAUUUCACUCCACCCUCGCCCCCAACCGGUAAUACCUGUCAGCCCAGCCUUGCCAACAUCCCUAGAUGUGACCUACACCUGCCUAGACCCACAGACUGUUCCCUAGACCCUUUUGGCUGUCCAGGCCAGACCUGUCCCUAGUCCACAUGUCAGUUCCGUGCCCUGUAACACAGCUAGCUACUGGGAGGUUCUGGACCCUGGAAGGUCUCAGGGUUCCCCUGCAGCUUGGGUUGGGUGCAGGGGUAGAUUCAGGGUGGCAGGCUCAGCUCAACCUCACAGAGAGAGUUAUGGCUGAGAGUUAUUUCCUGAGAGUCAGGAAACUUGGCUGAACCCUGGCUAAUGGGCUGUGUGGCUGUGGGCAAUACACUGGCCCUCUCUGGGCCUCAGAUUUUUAACCAAUAAUUGGAGAGAAUCCAUCCCUAAGGCCUGUUCUGGCUCUAAUGGUCUCGGAUUCUAGGAGGAAAGGGCCAGAAGUCUGCAGCAAAGGUCUGUAACCCCCUUCCUCUGUGCCCUGAAAGGGGCAGCAGGAAAGCCUCAUAUCCCAGCGCAGCCCCGCCUCCGCUGUCUUGGCGAGGCACGCACUCACUCCUUGGGAUUUACAAUGGGCUGAAUUCAUUUGCAUAACAAAAUUGGCUCGGGUAUCCAAGUGUUGCAGGAAGACAAGUGUAACAUUACGCAGAACAAGCAGCUGGGAGGAAGGUUACCACCAACAAUGAGGGAACAAGAUGCCCGCCCACCUGCUGCCUCUGCCAACCUUUCAUCCACAGGCAUGGGGGGCUGCCCGGGGGCAGUGUCAGGGGUGGGGGAGAAGAGAUCUGCAGGCAUGGGAGAUGGCUGCCUGCCCAGGGAUCUGGGCUGGGUGGAUGGGUCGGAUGGGAGGGGAACUCCUGCUCCUAGGGUCUUCUCACUGUUAGGGUGAAGAGGUUUCCUUUGCUAUUUCUAAAUGCCUGCACCAUUUAAAUGGUCCCAAAAUUAUCUCCCCACUCUCAGGACUUGAUAACACAAGAACUUAACCACUAACCAUGCACCGGUCCACUCAUCCACUCUCAUCCAUUCACUCGCUCAUCCACACAUCUGCCAUCUAUCCACCUGCCACCAUCCAUCCGCCUGCCACCAUCCAUCCAUCCAUUCAUCCAUUCACUCAUCAAUUUACCCAUCCGCUCAUCUCCCCAUCCAUCUGCCUAUCCAUUCUUUCAUCCUUCCACGCACCUUCCCACUCUCACCCACUCACCUAUACACUCAUCUAUUUACUAAUCCCUCUGCCCACCCAUGUGUCCAUCCAUCUAUCCUUCCAUCCACCCACUCAUCCACUUACUCAUCCACCAGGCCCCUCAUUAAUUCACCCAUCCACCCUUGCAUCCAUCUAACAAAGCCAGAUGUUGGACACGUGUUUGUGCCAGGUACAGCACUGGGGAUUUCUCUGUGCCUCAGCUUCUUCGUCUAUAAAAUAAGGGUAAUAAUGGGAUCUACCUCACAAGCUUGACCAUGGCCCAGACUAAGUGCUGUGUAAGUGUUUUCUGAUGUUAAUCUUAUUAGGCACUGGGGAAUCUAAAGGUAAAUAAAACAGAGUUGCUGCCCUAAAGGAAAUCACACACUUCCUGGGGAAAAAUGCAAGAAAACUGGCAUUAGGGUCCCUCGUGGGAUGUGCUCAUCUGUAGGGAAAUAUUAAGGGUUGCGGGACGGCCAAAGCUUGGGCGUCCUGUCUCAUUCCAGGCUCAUUUGGGAGGUAGGAGGGGACAAGAAGUAUCGUUAUUGAUCUUUGUAUAUUACAGAUGAGGAAACUGAGGCCUAGGAGAGUUAAAGGACCGCCCAAGACCACACCACCGCACAGAGACACCAGGACUGAACGCUUGUGUCUUCUGACUUGCAGCUUCCAGCAGCCUGGAUCAUGCUCUUCUUACCUCAUCUGGGUAGCAAGAGAAGGCUGCUCUAAAGCUACCUUACUCCCAGGUUGCAGGAGCAGAACCAAGACGUUCAGAUCCCUUGAGGAAGAGAAUGGCUCAGCAUGAGGGGGCCUCACCCAGAGCCCUGGGUCUGCUCUGAGCCCCUCACUUAAAGAGGGAAGCUGACCAAAUGAGCAGAACAGAGCAACAGAGCAAGUGGCACCAGAGAGACCACCCACGGAGGGCACUUCGUGAAGAGCGAGGAUUGGCUCUGACCAGUGCUUAUCAGCAGGCACACAGGUAGUUGAAAACAAAUCCCAGAUAUCAGGUGACUUCAUGUGGAAUGACUUCAGUAAGUACCUCUCACUAACUGGCCAUGCCAGGAUCACACCUGAGGAAAUUAACAGUAAUCCCAUGGUGAGCGUCAGCUGACACUCAGUCCCUCUUUAACUGCGCCCCGCCUCCUCCCGUAAAUAUGUAAACCCACACUGCAAGGGUGGAUGGAGGGCCAUGUGGCCGGGCGGCUUCUGUGCUUUAGCUUUGGAGCCUUAAGAGGGUGAGGGUUGAAUACCUGUGGCUUUGGGUGGGUGGUUUGCUUUAUGGGGCCUCUCUUUCUUCCUAUGCCAAAGGUACUGACCUCUCCCAAGGCGGUCAGGAGGACUGAAUGAAAUUGUAUGAGUACAGUACUGGGUACUUGGUAGGGACUCAAUGAAUGGUGGCAGUGCUUACGAUGUUUUCUAUUUUGCAUAUAAGGAAACUGAAGUUCAGAGCAGGAGAGUGACUUGCUCAAGCUCACACAGCUCAGAGUGGUUAAGCUAGGAUGGAAGCGUAGGUCUUCUAAGUGCUCUGGGAUGUGUGUUCAACACAGCCCCCUCACCCCCUCUAAUACUGGCCUUGUCUGCCACCACCCCAUACUACAAAUGGAAAUGACACAGAGGGUGACAUCAACAGGUCCCUUUUUCUCGAUAGCCACUAGAUCAUGGUGCUGUGGGCUGAGCAGAUGAUUGAUAGGACAUCACUGGGCCUGGCUCUCCAGGAGACCUAGAAAAAGAUCUUGCCCCUCUCUGGGCCUCAGUUUCCCUAUCUGUACCACAAGGGCAUUGACCUCCACGUGGUCUUCGAGACCUCUUCCAGUUCUGCUUUGUUUGCACCAGGGUUAGUAACCGUGGGAAUGGGAGAGAUGGAGAUACUUGAGGCUGAUGGGGAGUUGCACAGCCCAAGACCCCAGGCUGCAAGACAGUAUGGGGAUGAGGGCGAUCCUCCCAUAUUGGAGAUCAGGGAUGGGGUGGCCCAGCUAGGUAGAAGUGAAGCUCCCCCACCCCCACUGGAUUGUGAACCUCCUGAAAUUAGGGCUGUGACUUGUACCUUAUAAGUAUCACAUAGAUGAGAAAAAAUUUCAUCGAUGUAAUGGAUGGAACACUAGAUAGGAGAUCAGUAAGGAAAUAGAAGACUUUAAAAACACUGUAAACCAGCUAGACCUAACAGACACUGCUUUCUAACGGCGAUUGAAGAGCACAUUCCACCCAGCAACAGCAGAAUACACAUUCUUCUCAAGUGCACACGGACCAUUCUCUAGCAUAGAUCAUAUCUUAGGCCACAAAUCAAAUCUCAAUAAAUUUAGAAAAAUUGAAAUUACACAAAAUAUGUUCUCUGACAACAGAGUAAUGAAAUUAGAAGGUCAAAAACAGAAGGAAAUUUGAAAAUUCACAAAUAUGUAAAAAUUAAACGACACACUCCUAACCAAAGGGUCAAAAAAUAAAUCAUAAGGGAAAUUAGAAAAUACUUUGAGACGAAUGAAAACAAAAACACAACAUACUAAAACUUACAGGAUGCAGUAAAAGCAGUGCUCAGAGGGAAAUUUAUAGCUGUAAACACCUACCUUAAAAUAGAAGAUCUCAAAUCAAUAACCUUCCACCUUACUAAAAAAAAAAAAAGCAAACUAAAUCCAAAGCAAGCAAAUAAAAAAAUUAGAGCAGAGAUAAAUGAAACAGAGAACAGAAAAACGAUAGAGAAAAAUCAGCAAAACCAAAAGUUGGUUGUCUGAAAUGAUCUACAGAAUUGACAAACCUUUAGCUAAACUGACCGAGAAAAAAAAAAAGAGAGAGAAAACUGAAAUUACUAAAGUCAGGAAUGGAAGUGGAGACCUUGCCACUGACCUUACAGAAAUAAAAAGGAUUAUACAAUUUCACUGAUAGAUUCGAAAGAAACUCCACAACAUUUCUAGAGAUUGGAGAGAACAUCCGGAAAUGGUUACCAGUAGUUGCCUUCAGGGAAACAGGGCUGGGGUGGGUGGAGCUGGGGUGCCUGCUUUUUAUUAUAAGUCCUUAAGGGCUAUUUUUGUAAAUGCUUUGAUUGCAAAAUAUAAGACACAUACAGAAAAGUGGAUUUUUAAAAAGUACCGCUCAGUAAUUUAUCACCAAGUGAAUAUCCAUGAAACCACCACUUGGUCAAGAGGAACAUUACCACCUCCCCAGAAGCCCCUCCUGUACUCUAGCCAAUCCUCCUCCCCAAAGAAAACCACCAUUCUGACCUUUAUGGCAAAUACUCUUGCUCUCCUUGAUAGUUUUGCCAUCUCUACACACAAUAGUUGGGUUCAGUUCGUGCUUGAUAAAUCCAAUCAAGUAGCAGGUCCUCUUUUGGGUCCGGCUUCUUGCAUUUUACAUUCUGUUUGUGAGAUUCCCCAUGCUGUUGUAGGAAGCAAUCGUUGGCUCAAAUUUUCUUAGCUGUAUCAUAUUCCAUUUUAUGAGUACACCAUCAUUUAUGUGUCUGUUCAACUAUUGAUGGAAUGGGCUUUUUAAAAAGCCAUGUACCUAAAGAUAGGUUGAUUAAAAUAUUUCUGAUAAAAUGCACAUUUAAAAUGCAACUCAACACAUAUUAGUUUAAUUUCAUCCCUAGGAUCCUCAUUCCCUUUUCUGCUCCAAUAAGUCAUGAAGACAGCUUGGGUCUCAGAAGAAAAUAGGCCGUUUAAGCAGAAGCCCAGAGGGAACACAUCUGAGAGAUGCCCACACCCUCAUGGGGUCCUCUCAUCAGCCCUUCUCCCCAAAUUUUCAGCCUCAAAUGGGGGAGGUCACACAGAUGGAGAGAAACCACUCUCUCCCUUCCACCCGAGGUCUGCAGAUUCCUGACACACAUACGAGUGCACACCCAGGCAGACAGGCAAGAGCGUGGCCCCCACACAUGAGCACACACACGGGCACCUAGGCAUAUCCCAGAAGUGGCAAUGCCUGCUGGCACCUGACCAGCAGGCGAGGUCUGUGCACAGAGAAGUUGUGGAAGAAGAGGAGGGGAAAGCGUGGGGGAAAAAUCCCCUCAUUUCUGAAGAAAUGUCCCAGAUUAGAUUUGUAAAUCAAAAACCAAUAUAUAACAUGCAAGAAUUGAUCUGUUUUAUAUUCCUCAGUUACAUUUUUGUGAAGCACAUUUAGAAGAUUUAGAACGUAUUUGCGCCUGCUGGUUGGGCCAUUAUAUGCUUGAGUUCAUACAUCUAUUUGUGAGGCUAUAAAACAGGCAUCGACUACCAUGUAAAUUGUGUUCUCCACAAUAAAUUAUAUGCAUACUUGCAAAAAUACAUAACUGCCGUGCCUGGGCCAACGCGGCCAGAAUACUAAUGAGGGCGAAAGUUGCUUUGUCCCUCUUCUCCGGCCUAAUUUAGCCUCUACAUCAAAAAUUAUGUAGGAAAAAUCACUUUAUCCUCUCACUGAGAAAUAAAAUAGCACUCAUGGGUACCCUCAUCUCUUCCCACCCCCCUUCCUUUUAACCGAACACUACCAUUUUCAUACUAAUUUUAGCUGCUCCAGGUUUACGGGGAGGAAGGCUGGCUGAGCUGAAGCUGGGGUGCCAGCGGGCUGCCUGGAUGUAUGAGAAGGCUGUGGGAGUGGGCAUGUGCAUGCACACACUCACACACACACAUGCAUACACACGUAGGCACAUUCCCUCCGUGUGGUUUGAAUUCGCUUGUGCCAGGGCAUGUUCACAGCAUGCACACAGACCUACAUGUAAAUGUGAAGACUCACCCCAGACACGCAUGCACAGACACUCCACGAGCAUUUGCCCACGUGGCGCAGAUUCAUUCCCUCUCCCCGGUACAGACUCCUAUGCACAGAGACACACUGGGGAAAUUCAGUUCAGUUCGGUUCAAUUCAGUUCAAACAGGUCAGUCCAGCAAACACUGACUGAGCACCUAUUAGAUGCCAUGUGCUGUACUUGGCAUUGGGACUACGGAGAUUUUUUUUUAAAAAAGGCAGAAUCUCAGCUUAUAGCUCAGGGGAAGAGGCAGCUUUAGGAACAAAUGCAGACAAGUCAGUAUGCUGAGGGCUGUAGCAGAGACAGAGAGCAUACAGGUACACACACUCACGCCCUGGUCAUUGUCAGUGUGCAUAUUUUCCAGUACUCAUAUGUGCACACACAGAUGCACACAGAGUCCCUGCACUUACACAGGCACAUACCUCACACCACAUGGACUCACGUGUGCAUGCACAACACACACAUACACACACCGGUACACUCAAGCAUCAGCAUAGCCACCCUCCCACUGACACCGCAUGCUGGUGCCUGCCUCACCUCUGUCUUUCCUGCAAGCCCAAGUUAACUUCACGCCCUGUCUGGCUUGCCCUUUCUUGGGUUCUGUUGCUGUCUAUCCUGGAAGCAGAGCCACUUCCAACAGCAGGCUGGCUAGUGUUGCUCCCACUUCUCCCAGGGGCCUGCCCAAGGUUCCAUCUUGCUGGGAGCUUCCGCAGGCUCACAAGAGGAAGGAGAAGUAGACACAGGAAGAUCUCAUUUCCAUGACCUCAGGCCAGUCCGUGCCCUGUCCCAGGCCUCAGUUUACUCCUUUUCUUUUUCUUUUUUCCUUUCUUUUUUUUUUUUUUUUUUUUUUGAGAUGGAGUCUCACUCUGUCACCCAGGCUGGAGUGCAGUGGCGUGAUCUCUGCUCACUGCAACCUCCACCUCCCAGGUUCAAGCAAUUCUCGUGCCUCAGCCUCCCGAGUAGCUGGAACUACAGGUGUGCACCACUACAUCUAGCUGCCUUUUUUGUAUUUUUAGUAGAGACAGGGUUUCACCAUGUUUGCCAGGCUGGUCUCCAACUCCUGACCUCAGGUGAUCCGCCCGUGUUGGCCUCCCAAAAUGCUGGGAUUACAGGCGUAAGCCACCGUGCGCCCGGCCUACCCAUUUUUAAAAUGUGGGAAUUGGAUGGUCUCUGAGGCCAUCAGGCUCCAGAUGUCCACAGUUUGUGCUGAAGAAGGUGGCGCCUCAGUCCAAGUCAGAGAGUGUGAGACAACUGCAGAGACGCCCCCAACCUGGAGGCAUCUCGGCCCCGCUCCGAGCUCCCAGCCUAAGAGAAGCGUUUGACCUCAGGGGCAGGCCUCAUGAGGGCAGGAGAAGUCAUGUCCUGGAGAAAAGGAGUGGCAAGAUGUGGUAGGGGAGAGAAGACUUGGUGCAAGAGGGCCAGCUGGGAUAUUUAUAGGUGCCAGCCACGGUUCUAGGGGAAUUUCAUUCUAUCUUCAAACACCUGAAGGGCUGCCGUGGGGCAGAGGGAAAGGACUUCCUCUGCAUGACCCAGUUGGUAGAACUAGGACAGUGGGAAAGUGGUGGAGGCUGCAAGGAGACAGACAGCCUUUAGUUGAAUACAGUGAUCAGCGUGAUUUCUCCGUGCGUGCACCCGCCUACCAGCAUGCGUGGUGUACAUUCUGCUGCUGUGUAUUCCGUCUCCUUGCAGCCCUUUCUUUCCUCUGCUCCCUAUAGCUCAUCCUAUGGCUUUUCAUACCGUACUAUUUUCUCUUUAUCUCAGCUUGUUCUUGGAGUAGAAAAUAUGUUCUUUUUAAAAACGAAAAUCAGAUUUUUAUUGAGGAAAAAAUAUUAAGUUCACAUGAUGAAAAAUUCAAAUUGGUCAAAGGAUGUAUGGCGAAAAGAAGGUCUCUCUCUCUGGCUGCCCAGGCUCCUCCGGCUGCCCAGGCUCCUCCGGCUCAUCGUCAUCCAGCUUCCUUCUCCAGAAACAACCACUGUUACCAAUUGUUAUGUGUUUUUUCAGAAAUAUACUGUGCGUGCAAGCAUCUCUCUCUGUCUGUUGAUCUGUCCUUUAUUUAACACAAAUGUGAGCAUACCAUGUGCCCUGAUCCUUGCCUCCCCUCCCCUCCCCUCAUCCCAACCUAACUACGUAGCUUGGAAGGUGUUUCUGAGGAAAAGUUCUCCAUUGGGCGAUAUCUGACAAUGAAAUGGGCUAACGAGCUCUCAACACUGGGGAUGUGGAGGCACAGGCUAGAUGACCACUUGGGGAAAGAAAAAUGGGAGAGUUGGGCCCUUCCUUGGAGGAGGAAGGUUAGACUCAUGCCGUCUAAGGCCCUUUCCAUGAACCAGCUGCUUGGAUACAAAGAGAACAGCUCUCUUUAUCUUGCGUUCUUCCCAUUUUUCCCCACUCCCUCCCAGCGCCCCACAAGCUGGGCCAGGGUCACCAGUGUUUAAAGCCGCCCAGCCUUGGCUUCCAGCCCUUGUGUAAUUGACAAGAAUUCCCCCCCUCCCUAAGAGAUGGCCUCUCUCUGUGCCAGCCACAUGCCACUAAACUCCAAAUUAAGAGGCCCAGCUGAGAUUUCUGUCUUAUUCCACCCAUACUCCUGGGGCCAAUCCUCUCUCAUUUCAGGAGGGGAAUGGAACUCAGUUUGGAUUUGGGAAGGGGGGUAGAGGGGGCUCGCCACCAAAGCUGGUGCCUCUAUGCUCCAGAGAGAUGUGCGUGUCCUACCAUGCGGCUUAAGACUUCUCCAAAACACCGUCCCCCCAAAUCCAAUAAAAUUGCAAAUUUCACUGUAUUUCACAAUAUCCUAAAUAAACAUGAACAGC